AACUGUAUGAAAUCAAAUUACAUACAUGCCUGUUAACUAAAAACGGGUAUCCGUAUGAUGUAAUUUGUUUAUCGAAACACGAAUAUUGUAUGUUUGUGCUUUAAUUAUUAUGGCAAACAGUUGCAAUAGCUGUUUUUGUUGACGAGAUUGUCGGCUUGUGGACCCCGCCUCCUUUUGCAGAUUAACCAAUCAGUAGACGAUCGCCGUCAAAUAGAUGUUUGUAGUUUGCAGAAUGGAAAGAACCUUGCAGCGAAAAUUAUUUUCACUUCUAUGUGAAAAUCUAACCAGAAAACUCCCCUGUCAAUUACAAGAUACAGUAUGCCAUUCCAGCUUUGAUGAAAUAAAGUAAUGGUUUGAUUUGGAGAGCUUUAUUAUUAUAGACAGGGAUGAUGACCUGCAGUAGAAAGUUCCUUAUAA
Molecule: long non-coding RNA, 417 nt
Organism: Mytilus californianus (California mussel)
Lineage: Eukaryota; Metazoa; Mollusca; Bivalvia; Mytilida; Mytilidae
Exons: 3
Source: RefSeq, a predicted model, not a curated record